RNAcentral lists this ribosomal RNA (548 nucleotides) under Fusarium solani. RNAcentral's name for it is "eukaryotic LSU rRNA". It matches the Rfam family "Eukaryotic large subunit ribosomal RNA", at positions 1 to 560 of the family's 3401-position model. Lineage: Eukaryota; Fungi; Ascomycota; Sordariomycetes; Hypocreales; Nectriaceae. The record is from RNAcentral.
UGACCUCGAAUCAGGUAGGAAUACCCGCUGAACUUAAGCAUAUCAAUAAGCGGAGGAAAAGAAACCAACAGGGAUUGCCCCAGUAACGGCGAGUGAAGCGGCAACAGCUCAAAUUUGAAAUCUGGCUCUCGGGCCCGAGUUGUAAUUUGUAGAGGAUGCUUUUGGUGAGGUGCCUUCCGAGUUCCCUGGAACGGGACGCCAUAGAGGGUGAGAGCCCCGUCUGGUUGGACACCGAUCCUCUGUAAAGCUCCUUCGACGAGUCGAGUAGUUUGGGAAUGCUGCUCUAAAUGGGAGGUAUAUGUCUUCUAAAGCUAAAUACCGGCCAGAGACCGAUAGCGCACAAGUAGAGUGAUCGAAAGAUGAAAAGAACUUUGAAAAGAGAGUUAAACAGUACGUGAAAUUGUUGAAAGGGAAGCGCUUGUGACCAGACUUGGGCUUGGUUGAUCAUCCGGGGUUCUCCCCGGUGCACUCUUCCGGCCCAGGCCAGCAUCAGUUCGCCCUGGGGGACAAAGGCUUCGGGAAUGUGGCUCUCUCCGGGGAGUGUUAUA